ACGGGAGGCAGCAGUCGGGAAUAUUGCGCAAUGGAGGAAACUCUGACGCAGUGACGCCGCGUAUAGGAUGAAGGUUUUCGGAUUGUAAACUAUUGUCGUUAGGGAAGAUAAAAGACAGUACCUAAGGAGGAAGCUCUGGCUAACUACGUGCCAGCAGCCGCGGUAAUACGUAGGGAGCAAGCGUUAUCCGGAUUUAUUGGGUGUAAAGGGUGCGUAGACGGGAAGACAAGUUAGUUGUGAAAUCCCUCGGCUUAACUGAGGAACUGCAACUAAAACUAUCUUUCUUGAGUGCGGGAGAGGAAAGUGGAAUUCCUAGUGUAGCGGUGAAAUGCGUAGAUAUUAGGAGGAACACCAGUGGCGAAGGCGGAUUGCUGGACGACAACUGACGGUGAGGCGCGAAAGCGUGGGGAGCAAACAGGAUUAGAUACCCUGGUA
RNAcentral lists this ribosomal RNA (435 nucleotides) under uncultured Oscillospiraceae bacterium. Its description in RNAcentral is "bacterial SSU rRNA". It matches the Rfam family "Bacterial small subunit ribosomal RNA", at positions 341 to 792 of the family's 1533-position model. Lineage: Bacteria; Bacillati; Bacillota; Clostridia; Eubacteriales; Oscillospiraceae. The record is from RNAcentral.